CAGCAGCCGCGGUAAUACGUAGGUGGCAAGCGUUGUCCGGAAUUAUUGGGCGUAAAGCGCGCGCAGGCGGUCCUUUAAGUCUGAUGUGAAAUCUUGCGGCUCAACCGCAAGCGGCCAUUGGAAACUGGGGGACUUGAGUGCAGGAGAGGGAAGUGGAAUUCCACGUGUAGCGGUGAAAUGCGUAGAGAUGUGGAGGAACACCAGUGGCGAAGGCGGCUUCCUGGCCUGUAUCUGACGCUGAGGCGCGAAAGCGUGGGGAGCAAACAGGAUUAGAUACCCUGGUAGUCCACGCCGUAAACGAUGAGUGCUAAGUGUUAGGGGGUUUCCGCCCCUUAGUGCUGCAGCUAACGCAUUAAGCACUCCGCCUGGGGAGUACGGCCGCAAGGCUGAAACUUAAAGGAAUUGGCGGG
This 410-nucleotide ribosomal RNA is filed under the name uncultured microorganism. Its description in RNAcentral is "bacterial SSU rRNA". It matches the Rfam family "Bacterial small subunit ribosomal RNA", at positions 509 to 917 of the family's 1533-position model. The record is from RNAcentral.